RNAcentral lists this ribosomal RNA (161 nucleotides) under uncultured bacterium. RNAcentral's name for it is "partial 16S ribosomal RNA". It matches the Rfam family "Bacterial small subunit ribosomal RNA", at positions 330 to 509 of the family's 1533-position model. The record is from RNAcentral.
ACAGUGAGCCUACGGGAGCAGCAGUGGGGAAUAUUGCACAAUGGGGGAAACCCUGAUGCAGCGACGCCGCGUGAAGGAAGAAGUAUCUCGGUAUGUAAACUUCUAUCAGCAGGGAAGAUAGUGACGGUACCUGACUAAGAAGCCCCGGCUAACUACGUGCC